Camellia sinensis is the source of this 898-nucleotide non-coding RNA. The record is from RefSeq and is a predicted model, not a curated record. Lineage: Eukaryota; Viridiplantae; Streptophyta; Magnoliopsida; Ericales; Theaceae.
GAAAAUAAACUAGGUUUAAGAAAUACACUCCCACACGCUCUAACUCUCUCAUACAUCUCUGUCUGCCUCUGCUCUCCUCCCGCUCUCUUUGUCUUUCUCUCUCUCUCUCUCACUUUUGUCUCCAUCGUUAACGGAGCAUCACCGCCAUCGCACACGAGCACCACCUUCAAUCCACCAUUGGAGCAUUACCCCAGGUAUGUGCUCUCUAUAGUCUCUAUUCCCCUAAUUUCAGCCUCUAGGGUUUUCUUCUUCCGUUUGCAUACCUUCACCCAAACCGAACCCCAAAUCGACCCAUGUUAAGGUUGAGGCAUCUGUUCAUUCAUUGUCCUUGGAUAUGGAGGAUAUGGGUUGAAUUACUAGAAUGGUGGAAUGUUCACUGAGUUACACCAUAAUCUUUUUCAAAUUUGUCACACUGGGGGUUUGGGUUUAAAUUUGGGAAGCUGGAAAAGAAGAUGUGGAGGCCAUGGUUUGGUCAAUUUGGAAGGCUCAUUAACUCUGUACAUCCAGGCACUGCUUUGGGCCUAAUUCGGUUUUUCUCCACCUGUUGCUUUUCUUCUUUAAUCCACAACAUGUUGCUGAUUUCUUUGCUCUUGUGGAGACAUGCCGAUUACUUCAACAGUUUGUUCAAGAAAUGGUGCGUCUAAUCAGUCUUCCUUCUUAAUGAAACCACUUAUUAAUGUUAUUUGAUGUUAGUAAAUGCAUGUGACUUUCAUAAUGGCCCUCCUCAACAUACUUAAUGAGGCCUAAGUUGUUAAAUCAUUCUUAGUAUAGGGAGGGAUCCCCUGCUCUCCCUUGCAAAUACUCCCAAACCAAAAACCCCCCAAUUUUUUUUUAGUUUUGUACAAAAAAUAAUUCAAUUUUAAAGUUGAUAUUUUAAAGUUUUGAAAAUCAAAAUAAA